Long non-coding RNA from Arachis stenosperma, 1466 nucleotides. RefSeq lists it as uncharacterized. NCBI's taxonomy places the organism in Eukaryota, Viridiplantae, Streptophyta, Magnoliopsida, Fabales, Fabaceae. The transcript is spliced from 4 exons. The record is from RefSeq and is a predicted model, not a curated record.
UUAUGUGAAAUUACCAAUUUACCCGAAACCCUAUUUUUUUCAAAAUAAUGAAACACUUACCCAUUAACCCGUUACUCGACCCGGUUCUCCUUCUAUCCCCCUCAGCCCCCCAAACCCAGCCACAACACACCGCAGCAAUAGCUGCAAAAAGAAAGGAACGAAGAAAGAAAAGGGCUAGGAGGAAACGGGAAACGCAGAGGGAAGCAGGCAAGGAGGAAGGUCGCGUCGGCAUGCUGGGCAGCACCGCCACCACCGUGCCUUGUUGUCGCGACCUAACCACGUCGCCAUCGACCCGUGACGCUGCCUCCAGAACCGCGCAAAGGACAGAGGGAGGAGAGAGAGAGUUCGCGUUGGAGGAGAGAGGGAGCUCGUGCCUCACCGCCGUCACCCAUGGAGCCACGAGCGACGUCGGUCGCCGCGGCGUCGCGUCGGAGAGGAAGCCUGAGACUGAGCGCCGCUGGGAGAGAGGAAGACGCGGGCUGGAGGAGCUGCAUCCAGUCGCCGCUGUCGCGCCACUGACCGCCGCUGUUCUGCCGUCGCCGUCAAAGAGGUUCUGCCAGGAGAGAGGAGACCGGCGUGCGUGAAAAAGAAGGGGAGAGGUCCGAGGCUGAGAUGGUUCCCGUCACUGUCGUCUGCCUCUGUCACUACCGACCUGCUACUCCGCGGUGCUUAAUUGGAGCUUUUGCUACUGUCGCCGGAGUUCUGAGGCCGUCGGAACCACCGCCGGAGCUUCUGGCUAUCUCUGUCAUCGCCGAAAAAGUUGUCGUUGACCCAUCAGAGCUUCUGGCCGCCACCAGAGCUGUUGCCGAGGCCGGUUCAGAAUCGUAGCUGCUUCGUGUUGUUAUUUCGGGCUGUGCUUUGAAGCUGCCUUUGAUUUCGGGUUGAGGCGGAAAGGAUUCUGUGAGACGUUUGGGUCGUUAUGGAAUUGCGUUUUGAGGAUAUGGGCGCAGAAGUUACGAAGAGUUUAUUUAGUUGUUGUUGGGAAGUUUUAUAUUGUUUUAAUUAUGGUUUAUUGUACACUCGCCUUUAUCUUGAUAUAUUCUGUAAGAGGGAAAUGGAUUGUAUUGGUUAAUGUUUGUAAUAUUAUAUAUAUAUGGACGUACUCUUAUGAGUUUUUGUAAGUUGUAUGGUAUCUAUGGAUGUAUGUUAUCGGAUGAAAGUAUUUUUGGGAGCGGUCUUGCGGUUUAAAGUUUUAAACAGGCUCAUAUUUUAGUAUUAAAUAGUAUAAGUGUCGUUGUAAUGUUUGAGCUAUUAGAGUGGCGCAGCCGAAAAUGUGAGCUAUGGUAGUUAGGAUGUUACACUACUCUCAUCAUGCUGCUCGACGCUGGCCUCCUUGCCUUGUCCCCUCGCCACAACCUUCCUCGUCUCCUCGCCACUAUUCCUCGUAGCCAUUUUACUUGUGGUCGUUGUUUUGCAUCACAUUUGUAGUUCUACUGCUUAGCUACAUCACUUCUAGUUUCUUUGAG